This 427-nucleotide ribosomal RNA is filed under the name uncultured prokaryote. RNAcentral describes it as "bacterial SSU rRNA". It matches the Rfam family "Bacterial small subunit ribosomal RNA", at positions 355 to 774 of the family's 1533-position model. The record is from RNAcentral.
UGGGGAAUAUUGCACAAUGGGCGCAAGCCUGAUGCAGCGACGCCGCGUGGAGGAUGAAGGUUUUCGGAUUGUAAACUCCUGUUAAGUGGGACGAAAGACUCAUGGCUAAUAUCCAUGGGGGAUGACGGUACCGCUAGAGAAAGCACCGGCAAACUUCGUGCCAGCAGCCGCGGUAAUACGAAGGGUGCGAGCGUUAUUCGGAAUGACUGGGUGUAAAGAGCGUGGAGGCGGUUUGGUAAGUCAGCUGUUAAAUAGCCCGGCUUAACUGGGCAAAUGCGGUUGAUACUACAAGGCUAGAGUACAAGAGAGAAGAGUGGAAUUCUCGGAGUAGCGGUAAAAUGCGUAGAUCUCGAGAGGAACACCGGUUGCGAAGGCGGCUCUUUGGCUUGUAACUGACGCUUAAGCGCGAAAGCGUGGGGAGCAAACA